RNAcentral lists this ribosomal RNA (334 nucleotides) under Ligilactobacillus salivarius. Its description in RNAcentral is "bacterial SSU rRNA". It matches the Rfam family "Bacterial small subunit ribosomal RNA", at positions 384 to 710 of the family's 1533-position model. The record is from RNAcentral. Lineage: Bacteria; Bacillati; Bacillota; Bacilli; Lactobacillales; Lactobacillaceae.
UGAUGGAGCAACGCCGCGUGAGUGAAGAAGGUCUUCGGAUCGUAAAACUCUGUUGUUAGAGAAGAACACGAGUGAGAGUAACUGUUCAUUCGAUGACGGUAUCUAACCAGCAAGUCACGGCUAACUACGUGCCAGCAGCCGCGGUAAUACGUAGGUGGCAAGCGUUGUCCGGAUUUAUUGGGCGUAAAGGGAACGCAGGCGGUCUUUUAAGUCUGAUGUGAAAGCCUUCGGCUUAACCGGAGUAGUGCAUUGGAAACUGGAAGACUUGAGUGCAGAAGAGGAGAGUGGAACUCCAUGUGUAGCGGUGAAAUGCGUAGAUAUAUGGAAGAACACC